RNAcentral lists this ribosomal RNA (1521 nucleotides) under Triticum aestivum (bread wheat). Its description in RNAcentral is "partial small subunit ribosomal RNA". Lineage: Eukaryota; Viridiplantae; Streptophyta; Magnoliopsida; Poales; Poaceae. The record is from RNAcentral.
AUGGAGAAGGAGAGGAAGCAGGGGUUCUUCGCCGCCCUGAAGGAGGAGGUGGUGCGGGGGCUGUCGCCGGCGAGGUCCCGCGGGAAGACCCCGGCGAGGAGCGCGUCGCCGGCCAGAAUGCUGAUCCCGCGCCGUCGCAAGGCGCCGCCGCCGCCGCCGGAGAAGCAGAUGGAGCAGCAGCAGUACCUCCCGGAGCAGCUCAUCGCGCGCUCUGGCAGCCUCCGACCGGGUGGCGAGGUGCUCGAGCCGCUCAUUGAGGGCCCCGAUGCCGACCGCCUCGCCGCCGGCGACUUCGUCGGAGAGGACUCCGGCCGGCGGGAGGGGUUCGGGCACUGGGUCCGCGGCCACCUGACGCGCACGCCGUCCAUGGCCUCCGCCUCCGCCGGCCCUGGCGGCUCGAGCGGCUCGUUCCGGCACUCCGACCUCCGCCUCCUCCUCGGCGUCAUGGGCGCGCCGCUCGCGCCCAUCUCGUCCAACCUGGCCGACCCGCUGCCCCUCCUCUCCAUCAAGGGCACCCCUAUUGAGUCGUCGUCCGCUCAGUACAUCCUGCAGCAGUACAUGGCGGCGUCCGGCGGCUACAAGAUGCUGCAGUCGGUGAGGAACGCGUACGCCAUGGGCAAGGUGCGAAUGGUGGCGUCCGAGUUCGAGACGGCCACGCGCGUCGUCAAGAACCGCGGCCCGAGCGGCCGCGGCGCCGCCGCGGUCGAGCAGGGCGGCUUCGUGCUCUGGACGAUGGCCCCGGGCAUGUGGUACGUCGAGCUCGCCGUCGGCGGCAGCAAGGUCCACGCCGGCUGCAACGGCCGCCUCGUCUGGCGCCACACCCCCUGGCUCGGCGCCCACGCCGCCAAAGGCCCGGUUCGCCCCCUCCGCCGCGUCCUGCAGGGUCUUGAUCCGCUGACGACGGCCGGGCUGUUCGCGGAGGCGCGGUGCGUGGGCGAGAAGAAGGUGAACGGCGAGGAGUGCUUCAUCCUGAAGCUGUCGGCGGACCCGCAGACGCUGAAGCUGCGCAGCGAGGGGCCGGCGGAGAUCAUCCGGCACGUGCUGUUCGGCUACUUCAGCCAGCGCACGGGGCUGAUGGUGCACAUCGAGGACUCGCACCUGACCCGCAUCCAGCCGCACUCGGGCGGCGACGCCGUGUACUGGGAGACCACCAUCAGCUCGUGCCUGGAGGACUAUCGCGCCGUGGAGGGCAUCAUGAUCGCGCACGCGGGGCGCUCUGCCGUGACGCUGUUCCGGUUCGGCGAGGCGGCCAUGAGCCACACCAAGACGCGGAUGGAGGAGGCGUGGAGCAUCGAGGAGGUGGCCUUCAACGUCCCGGGGCUGUCGGUGGACUGCUUCAUCCCGCCCGCCGACAUCAGGUCCGGCUCCGUGGGCGAGGCCUGCGAGCUGCCGCCGCAACACGGCGACCGCGCCAAGUCCACCGCCGUGCACCCCGCCCGCGUCGCGGCGGCCGCAGAGCGCGCCCACACGCACGGCGCCGGAGGCCGCGGCGAGAAGAUCGUGUGGAGAGUGGAGGUGUGA